Zea mays is the source of this 518-nucleotide long non-coding RNA. RefSeq lists it as uncharacterized. NCBI's taxonomy places the organism in Eukaryota, Viridiplantae, Streptophyta, Magnoliopsida, Poales, Poaceae. The transcript has 3 exons. The record is from RefSeq and is a predicted model, not a curated record.
CACAGGUCAUGCCCAAAACAUCCACUUCCCCUUUGAUAUUGAAGCGGACACUUCAAUCAGUGUUGCAACUGAGAUGGUUGUGCAGCUCGAUCUCACAGAUCAAGAUGUAACGACGAUUGCAGAAAUGAUAGAAGAACACUGCAGCAAGUUCUUCUUAGGAAUAAGAUGAAAUGAUGUGGGGUCAAAGAGAGGAUGACGGAAACUUGAAGUACUUGGAGAUAAGAUAAAUCAAUUCAUUGACAUAAUAGAAAGCUUAAUUUCGUCGCCUCAAGCAAGUGAUUCAAAUGAUAGACAUGACAAUUGGGCUUUUGAAGAGGGUGUUCUCGACAAAGAAAGCUUGUACCUUAAAACAGGAGGAUACAAGAAGCUGGAGUGGUUGUCUGGAGGCUUUUGAACUGCUUGAAGCAUUAGUGUAGCUUUGGUGCUUUUGUGACUAAUCAACUCUGGAGCACCUAGAGUGAUGUAGUUGUGGGCUUUUGAACAAUAGCUGGAGUGAUAUGAAACAUUAGUGAUGUAGU